GCAAGCGUUAAUCGGAAUUACUGGGCGUAAAGCGUGCGCAGGCGGUGAUGUAAGACAGCUGUGAAAUCCCCGGGCUCAACCUGGGAACUGCAUCUGUGACUGCAUCGCUGGAGUGCGGCAGAGGGGGAUGGAAUUCCGCGUGUAGCAGUGAAAUGCGUAGAUAUGCGGAGGAACACCGAUGGCGAAGGCAAUCCCCUGGGCCUGCACUGACGCUCAUGCACGAAAGCGUGGGGAGCAAACAGG
RNAcentral lists this ribosomal RNA (243 nucleotides) under uncultured bacterium. RNAcentral describes it as "partial 16S ribosomal RNA". It matches the Rfam family "Bacterial small subunit ribosomal RNA", at positions 534 to 776 of the family's 1533-position model. The record is from RNAcentral.